RNAcentral lists this long non-coding RNA (208 nucleotides) under Mytilus galloprovincialis (Mediterranean mussel). Lineage: Eukaryota; Metazoa; Mollusca; Bivalvia; Mytilida; Mytilidae. The record is from RNAcentral.
CAAUGGUGGUCUCGGACCUAAUAGGGUAGAAAGAGUUGACAAAUCUUAAAAAAACUUGGUAUGACCAAAGCUUAAUGAAUUAUAACACUGCUUAGAAAGUUUCAUGACAAUAGGCUGUAUAUUAUAGACAUUAAGUUAAGUUCUAUACUCAUCUUUGCGUGUAAAAUUUUGACGUUAAAAUUGAAAAAUUUCAACUAUCAACAUUUGG